RNAcentral lists this ribosomal RNA (425 nucleotides) under uncultured bacterium. Its description in RNAcentral is "partial 16S ribosomal RNA". It matches the Rfam family "Bacterial small subunit ribosomal RNA", at positions 354 to 796 of the family's 1533-position model. The record is from RNAcentral.
GUGGGGAAUAUUGGACAAUGGGCGAAAGCCUGAUCCAGCCAUGCCGCGUGAGUGAUGAAGGCCUUAGGGUUGUAAAGCUCUUUCAGUAGGGAAGAUAAUGACGGUACCUACAGAAGAAGCCCCGGCUAACUUCGUGCCAGCAGCCGCGGUAAUACGAAGGGGGCUAGCGUUGUUCGGAUUUACUGGGCGUAAAGCGCACGUAGGCGGAUUGGUCAGUUAGAGGUGAAAUCCUGGAGCUCAACUCCAGAACUGCCUUUAAUACUGCCAGUCUAGAGUCCAGAAGAGGUGAGUGGAACUCCUAGUGUAGAGGUGGAAUUCGUAGAUAUUAGGAAGAACACCAGUGGCGAAGGCGGCUCACUGGCCUAAUACUGACACUGAGGUGCGAAAGCAUGGGGAGCAAACAGGAUUAGAAACCCGUGUAGUCC